GUGUGGCUUGAUGCUGAAUAUGUGUGUGGCUUGACUCUGUGUGAGACUGUGUGUGGCUUGAUGCUGAAUAUGUGUGUGGCUUGACUGUGUGUGUGUGUGAUUUUGUGAAAAUUGCAUUUGUUUGACGGUGUGGCUUGUAUGCUUUGCUGAAUAUUUGGUUGUAUAACUUGUGUUUUAUGUCACGACUGAUUGCUUUGUUGUUUGUUGAAUGUGAACAGACCUAGCACUAUAUUUUUUCUAAACUUUUUGUGAUAUCAUAUCCUUUUUUGUACUAUUGCUGUCCAGGCAAUUGAAUAAUGCUUUUCUCUAAGUAUUUAAGGUACAAACAUUUGGAUCCGGACAUGUCACAUGGGCUCUUUAUUGUGUUUUUAAGGACACUGAUGGGUUUUGUUUGCAUGCAACACAGAUGUGUUGUAUCCAUAACUACCUAUUGGCACCAGAUUUUUGUGCUCAAAAUGCAGUAUGGACCAACAAAAUGGUCUCAUUGCAAGGUCACUACCUGGACAUAUAGGCAAGCAAUGUCAAGAGAGGUGGCAUAAUCAUCUGAAUCCAGAAUACAGAGAGAUGGUUGGACUACUGAGGAACAUGCACGAAUUAAUACCCAUCGGGUAUAUGAGAAUAAAUGGGCAAAAAUAGCAGAAGUUGUUCCUAGAAGGCAUCUGAAUAUUGCAGGAAUGGGGUACUUCCAUUUAUGUAACUUCUAUUUGUUAUCAGUUCUUCUCACCUAUAGCUAAAGUCAAAGACGGUGAAUUAUUGGAUUUGCAAGAUACACAAAAUCAGUCAUCUUAAUCUUCUUUUGUAAAUAUGACUGAUGGUCCUGCUGAUAACGCUAUCCAUCGGCUUGUAAGUCAUGAGAGGCAACCACAGUUGCCAACUUGAAACAUAUAAUUUUUUAGGAAUGAAGAUCUGAAUCACCCUCACCCCUCGAGAGAAAUCAGUUUAGUCAUUCAGGUUCUAGAAUUUCUUUAUAGAUUUCUGAGUUUACUUCGGACUUGCAUGUAUUUGUGCCCCUAUCUAUGUCUGUUUCAUUUUGUUUCUUGUGUGCAAGCGCUCCAUUCUAUGUGUGUCUGACUGUGUGUGGCUUGACUCUCUUGUGUGUGUGGCUUGACUGUGUGUGUGACUGUUGCAUUUGACUGUGAUGUGUGACUGUU
Triticum dicoccoides is the source of this 1151-nucleotide long non-coding RNA. RefSeq lists it as uncharacterized. NCBI's taxonomy places the organism in Eukaryota, Viridiplantae, Streptophyta, Magnoliopsida, Poales, Poaceae. The transcript has 7 exons. The record is from RefSeq and is a predicted model, not a curated record.